Molecule: long non-coding RNA, 1015 nt
Filed under: Ricinus communis (castor bean)
Lineage: Eukaryota; Viridiplantae; Streptophyta; Magnoliopsida; Malpighiales; Euphorbiaceae
Description: long non-coding RNA (RCOM_LNC003589)
Source: RNAcentral
CCGUAUUAUUAUACCAAAGUGAAAAGACAGCCGUUUUUGUGAAUUUUACAGAGUAGCUCCUAUUCAAAUUGGGAAAUUUUAGAAAUUAGAUUGGCAAGUGGUAAAAGUGGGUAGAGUUUGAAUAACAAAAGGGCUCUAAGUUGUUCCAGAUAUUGGAGCAAUGUCGGUGGCCAUUAUUUGGAAAUAGAACAGUCAUUGCUUGCUUGUUUUAAAAUUACUUGACAUUCCUUAUUAAAUAUUCAAACUAUUUAGUAGUUGUCAAGGUUUGUUGGUUGAUUUUGUGUUUCAGCAGAAUUAAGGAAGUUUCUCUUGGUGUUGGCAGUAAGAAUUCAAUUCUUUACAAUGUUAUUUAUCCUCGUAAAGUGGCAUUUGAUGGUAUCUUCUGUUGUAUAGUUAUAGGAUCUCCUGAACUUUGAAAUACUGGUACCAGUAUUGUACUAAACCGUAUUAUUAUACCAAAGUGAAAAGACAGCCGUUUUUGUGAAUUUUACAGAGUAGCUCCUAUUCAAAUUGGGAAAUUUUAGAAAUUAGAUUGGCAAGUGGUAAAAGUGGGUAGAGUUUGAAUAACAAAAGGGCUCUAAGUUGUUCCAGAUAUUGGAGCAAUGUCGGUGGCCAUUAUUUGGAAAUAGAACAGUCAUUGCUUGCUUGUUUUAAAAUUACUUGACAUUCCUUAUUAAAUAUUCAAACUAUUUAGUAGUUGUCAAGGUUUGUUGGUUGAUUUUGUGUUUCAGCAGAAUUAAGGAAGUUUCUCUUGGUGUUGGCAGUAAGAAUUCAAUUCUUUACAAUGUUAUUUAUCCUCGUAAAGUGGCAUUUGAUGGUAUCUUCUGUUGUAUAGUUAUAGGAUCUCCUGAACUUUGAAACAAGGUGUGAAUCAGGUAACUGAUAUCUGUCUUUUAAAUUACUUAUUGCAGCAGGAACAAUGAUUAGACUAUUCAAGAUAAAGGAGAAGCAAAAUGAAAUAGCUGAGAAUGCGAAUGGGAAGCCUCUAGGCAAAAAGCAAAGUGCUGGGGAGUUA